This 305-nucleotide long non-coding RNA is filed under the name Rosa chinensis. Its description in RNAcentral is "sRNA RchiOBHm_Chr1g0342141". The record is from RNAcentral. Lineage: Eukaryota; Viridiplantae; Streptophyta; Magnoliopsida; Rosales; Rosaceae.
GGCGAGCUGCUGGCCUAGAUAGACUCGUCUCCUCCUCCUUAACAUGCAUGUGGGAGUUGUUUACCGCGAUUUGGCCGGAAAUGUGGAGAUCGAAGCCAACAUUUUUAUUGUAGCAAAAUGGUCAACGCCGAUUUCCCGUCACCUUCGGCCACAAACCCAGGUCCAUUAGAAGCGGCUUGAGUCACUCUUCACGCUCUCCAAACCUCUUGCAACGAUUCGAAGCGUGGAGGAAGAAAGCAUAAUUAGAAGAUCUUACUGUUCACUCGGGUUCAACCUUCUCCUUAAUUGUUGAGGUAUUUCUACUC